AUCAUCAUAAGUUGAGGACUACAUGUAUAUAUGUAAAAUUAUUGUACAAUAUGUAAAGUAUAUAUUACAUAUAUACACUUUACAUAUUGCACAUAGCAUUUUGUAUAUUAAAAUGCAAUACAAUUUCUGUAUGCAAUGUAUGUAUGCAUAUGACAUGAUCAUAUGCAUACAAACAUUGAAUACAGAAAUCAUGUGUCAGGCUUACGCAAAAUUUUAUAUGGCGAUCAAACAGUCCAGUUUGCAAGAUGAUUAAAUGGUAAAAUCAGUUCUUACCACUUUGACAGAUCCAGAUUUAAAUGUGGGUCCAAGCACUUUCAGAUUUUCAGGAGUGGUUGUCUUUAUUGGUCCAGCUCAUUGAGUCCUCAUCAUGAGUGUUACCAGCCUGUGUUGGGCCAUAAAAGUAAUCACCAUCACAUAAUGAUAUCCUAUGUGCAGUAUAAUUACUUAACACAUUGAUAUUAUAGGAAUUUUGGGAUUAGAUUGGAUUGAUAACAUGAUCUUUUGUUUUCUAUACGAAAUCCAAAAAAUAAUAAAAUGCAAAAUUUUAAAUUUUUCAGUAGGAACCACUCCCAUCAAUAAUAUUUCAAUUUCUCUUCUUUUAAAGAAAAUUUGUUUUGAGGUGGGCCAAAAUAAUUUUGAAAAAUGACUUGAAAUUAGUGAAUUUUGGGAAAAAGUUUUAAAAAUAUUUUCGUCCAAAAAUUCCAAUUUU
This 709-nucleotide long non-coding RNA is filed under the name Androctonus crassicauda. Lineage: Eukaryota; Metazoa; Arthropoda; Arachnida; Scorpiones; Buthidae. The record is from RNAcentral.